GACGGAGAAUGCAAGCGUUAUCCGGAAUGAUUGGGCGUAAAGCGUCCGCAGGUGGCAGUUCAAGUCUGCUGUCAAAGACCGGGGCUUAACUUCGGAAAGGCAGUGGAAACUGAACAGCUAGAGUAUGGUAGGGGCAGAGGGAAUUCCUGGUGUAGCGGUGAAAUGCGUAGAGAUCAGGAAGAACAUCGGUGGCGAAGGCGCUCUGCUGGACCAUAACUGACACUCAGGGACGAAAGCUAGGGGAGCGAAUGGG
This 253-nucleotide ribosomal RNA is filed under the name uncultured bacterium. Its description in RNAcentral is "partial 16S ribosomal RNA". It matches the Rfam family "Bacterial small subunit ribosomal RNA", at positions 524 to 776 of the family's 1533-position model. The record is from RNAcentral.